Molecule: ribosomal RNA, 301 nt
Filed under: uncultured bacterium
Lineage: Bacteria
Description: partial 16S ribosomal RNA
Rfam family: Bacterial small subunit ribosomal RNA
Source: RNAcentral
CAGUAGCCGCGGGAAUACGUAGGUGGCAAGCGUUGUCCGGAAUUAUUGGGCGUAAAGGGCUCGCAGGCGGUUUCUUAAGUCUGAUGUGAAAGCCCCCGGCUCAACCGGGGAGGGUCAUUGGAAACUGGGAAACUUGAGUGCAGAAGAGGAGAGUGGAAUUCCGCGUGUAGCGGUGAAAUGCGUAGAGAUGUGGAGGUACACCAGCGGCGAAGGCGACUCUCUGGUCUGUAACUGACGCUGAGGAGCGAAAGCGUGGGGAGCGAACAGGAUUAGAUACCCCCGUAGUCCCUGUCUCUUAUAC